AGAGUUUGAUCAUGGCUCAGGACGAACGCUGGCGGCGUGCCUAACACAUGCAAGUCGUACGGGACUUGGGGGCAACUCCAAGUUCAGUGGCAGACGGGUGCGUAACACGUGAAGAACUUGUCCGGUGGCGGGGGAUAGCCGGCCCAACGGCCGGGUAAUACCGCGUACGCUCGCGUGACGGCAUCGUUGCGCGAGGAAAGCAGCCGCAAGGUUGCGCCGACGGAGAGCUUCGCGGCCUAUCAGCUAGUUGGCGGGGUAAUGGCCCACCAAGGCGACGACGGGUAGCUGGUCUGAGAGGAUGAUCAGCCACAUUGGGACUGAGACACGGCCCAGACUCCUACGGGAGGCAGCAGUGGGGAAUAUUGCGCAAUGGCCGCAAGGCUGACGCAGCGACGCCGCGUGUGGGAUGACGGUCUUCGGAUUGUAAACCACUGUCAGGGGGAACGAAUACCGGGCGACGAAUAGCCGACCCGGGGUGACGGUACCUCCAAAGGAAGCACCGGCUAACUCCGUGCCAGCAGCCGCGGUAAUACGGAGGGUGCGAGCGUUGUCCGGAAUCACUGGGCGUAAAGGGCGCGUAGGUGGUUCGAUAAGUCGCUGGUGAAAUUCCGGGGCUCAACUCCGGAGCUGCCGGCGAGACUGUCGGACUUGAGCACGGUAGGGGCAGAUGGAAUUCCCGGUGUAGCGGUGGAAUGCGUAGAUAUCGGGAAGAAUACCAGUGGCGAAGGCGUUCUGCUGGGCCGUUGCUGACACUGAGGCGCGACAGCGUGGGGAGCAAACAGGAUUAGAUACCCUAGUAGUCC
Molecule: ribosomal RNA, 803 nt
Filed under: uncultured bacterium
Lineage: Bacteria
Description: bacterial SSU rRNA
Rfam family: Bacterial small subunit ribosomal RNA
Source: RNAcentral